This 29-nucleotide non-coding RNA is filed under the name Homo sapiens (human). The record is from RNAcentral. Lineage: Eukaryota; Metazoa; Chordata; Mammalia; Primates; Hominidae.
UCACCCAAGCAGAGGCCACCUUCUCCUGA